CUACUCCUACGGGAGGCAGCAGUAGGGAAUAUUGCGCAAUGGGGGACAGCCUGACGCAGCAACGCCGCGUGAGUGAGGAAGGUUUUCGGAUUGUAAAACUCUUUUAUCAGGGAACGAUGUCUUAGUGGUUAAUACCCAUUAGGAGUGAUGGUACCUGAGGAAUAAGCACCGGCUAACUUCGUGCCAGCAGCCGCGGUAAUAC
RNAcentral lists this ribosomal RNA (202 nucleotides) under uncultured Bacteriovorax sp. RNAcentral's name for it is "partial 16S ribosomal RNA". It matches the Rfam family "Bacterial small subunit ribosomal RNA", at positions 333 to 526 of the family's 1533-position model. The record is from RNAcentral. Lineage: Bacteria; Pseudomonadati; Bdellovibrionota; Bacteriovoracia; Bacteriovoracales; Bacteriovoracaceae.